GCGUAGGUAUCUAUCCUUGUGUGGGGGACGAACCGUGGGAAACGCUACGGCUAAUACCGCAUGAUGACUGAGGUCUAAAGGCGCUGGGGCGAACUUGGUGUCGCCUGAGGAGGAGCCUGCGUACGAUUAGCUAGUUGGUGGGGUAAGGGCCUACCAAGGCUUCGAUCGUUAGCUGGUCUGAGAGGAUGAUCAGCCACACUGGGACUGAGACACGGCCCAGACUCCUACGGGAGGCAGCAGUGGGGAAUAUUGGACAAUGGGCGAAAGCCUGAUGCAGCAACGCCGCGUGAGGGACGACGG
This 300-nucleotide ribosomal RNA is filed under the name uncultured Acetobacteraceae bacterium. Its description in RNAcentral is "bacterial SSU rRNA". It matches the Rfam family "Bacterial small subunit ribosomal RNA", at positions 115 to 414 of the family's 1533-position model. Lineage: Bacteria; Pseudomonadati; Pseudomonadota; Alphaproteobacteria; Acetobacterales; Acetobacteraceae. The record is from RNAcentral.